Non-coding RNA from Electrophorus electricus (electric eel), 1010 nucleotides. The record is from RefSeq and is a predicted model, not a curated record. NCBI's taxonomy places the organism in Eukaryota, Metazoa, Chordata, Actinopteri, Gymnotiformes, Gymnotidae.
UUUUAUUUGUUUAAUCCAGCACACUAACAUAACAGUAUUUCUACAGCAUGCGUACAUAGACCAAUUAUUUUCCUUCGUGUCGUUUCAACCUUUAUCCCUUUUAACCUUAAAACAUAUUUGCAUUCCUUUUUUUUUAAUGAGGAAAAAUGUAGAUGAAAAAGUUAACAUAAGAAAUGAGGAAGCCCUGAGCACACGAGCCCUCGGCUGAGAUAGUGUGUGUGGUGACGUAGACAGGCGAGGUACGGAAUUCCAAACAUUUUUUGCAUGAACUCAACAGGUUAAGAGGUGGAACAAGAGGGAAUUUUCCACUGCCUCUGUGCUGAAAAUAUUGUCCUGCAGCAUGGUGGGCGGACAGGGGAAGCAGAGAGAUGAAGGUCUGAUGAUGAUGCAGGAGCUGGAAGAUCGACUAAAGGAGCACAUUGACAAACUGGAACACAUACGCCUGGCAGCUGCUGACCUCAGAGAAAGCCCGUUUGGGAACAAUGGUGAUCUGAGACAGUCGAUCACUGAGCAUGUGGACUGGCUGGGUCAUCUAAGAGAGCGUGUGGAAGCACUCCAGAUGAACACAUCAGUAUUUGUCCAGAUGAACUCCAAGCCUCGCUUAUGGAGAGGAAAAAAUCAAGGCUUACGCAGCUCCUCCCGCUGGGGGUGGGGACCUCAGACAGAUGAUGCCCAGUCAGAAAUUGGGUGGUCUCCAAUUCGCACACGGCGUAACAGUGAUGCUGCUUCUGAAAUGUCAUGUGCCUGGUGAUGCACCUAGAACCAGAUGUACAAAAAGUGUAAAUUGGUGAAGUUCAGUUUUUCUGAAUCGGUGCAAUUUCAAGAUGCAUUUCUAGGUUAGCUGAUUUCUUAAUCAGCUAAUUAAGCAAGAAAACAUUGCAAUUUUGUCUUUAAACUUCCAAUGAUUGUAGAUCUAUUGUGAUUCUACAGUAUAUUGCCAGUAGUAAAAUCUCAAAUAUUCAUCACAUGCACUUAUGUAUCUAAAAAUAAAGCAUUAAUGGAUUCUCUUA